UCGACUUUCUUUGAAGCCGGGACGAAAUUGUGAAACCUUUGUAAAAUGAUUUAAUAGACAGAAAAUGUAAAAGUAACUGAAAGGAUGCGAUGCCUCAAGCUGUCGAUUUUACUUGAUUGGCCAUUGUAAAAUAUUUUCCGGUGAAUUUAAACUGAUGUGACCCUAAUUGGAGAUUGGCUAGACACGAUCUGAUGAGGACGGAUCGAAGCGAUGGGCUCACAUACUGCCCUGCUUAAUGAUAUUUCCUUUAAUCUAAUUAAAACUAUGCUUUCUCCACUUGUCUCAGUUAAUUAAAUAGCUUCGAGCCUUGUUUAUUGAGGAAAAUAUGGAGCUCUUCAAAGUAGCCAUCAACUGUUGACUUUUCAAAGGUACCAAAGAGCCAACAUAUUGAAAGGAAGCAACCAUUAUCCAAGAGAAGUCAUAUUUUGAUGUUGUUGUGUUAAAUAGCUUCAGCAUCCUGAUCAUAAAGGGAAAAGUGGAGGUUCUAAAAGCAGCCAUCAAUUGUUGUCUUUGCUUCCUCAUUGUUGGCAAGUCUGGA
This is a long non-coding RNA of Aethina tumida (small hive beetle), 538 nucleotides long. RefSeq lists it as uncharacterized. The transcript has 3 exons. NCBI's taxonomy places the organism in Eukaryota, Metazoa, Arthropoda, Insecta, Coleoptera, Nitidulidae. The record is from RefSeq and is a predicted model, not a curated record.